AUACGUAGGUGACAAGCGUUAUCCGGAUUUACUGGGCGUAAAGGGCGUGUAGGCGGUCUUGCAAGUCAGAAGUGAAAUUCCUGAGCUCAACUCGGGCGCUGCUUCUGAAACUGCAGGACUUGAGUGCUGGAGGGGAUAGCGGAAUUCCUAGUGGAGCGGUAAAAUGCGCAGAGAUUAGGAAGAACACCGGUGGCGAAGGCGGCUAUCUGAACAGAAACUGCAGCUGAGUCGCGAAAGCGGGGGAAGCAAACAGGAUUGGAUACCCUGGUAUUCCACGCCGUAAACGAUGAAUACUAGGUGUAGGGGGUAUCGACUCCCUCUGUGCCGCAGUUAACACAAUAAGUAUUCCGCCUGGGGAGUACGGCCGCAAGGUUGAAACUCAAAUGAAUUGACGGG
RNAcentral lists this ribosomal RNA (396 nucleotides) under uncultured bacterium. RNAcentral describes it as "partial 16S ribosomal RNA". It matches the Rfam family "Bacterial small subunit ribosomal RNA", at positions 523 to 917 of the family's 1533-position model. The record is from RNAcentral.